AUCCAUCUGACGAGUCCGAAAUAAGACGAAACGCGCGUAGUGUAU
This 45-nucleotide non-coding RNA is filed under the name Schistosoma margrebowiei. The record is from RNAcentral. Lineage: Eukaryota; Metazoa; Platyhelminthes; Trematoda; Strigeidida; Schistosomatidae.